This 1455-nucleotide ribosomal RNA is filed under the name Limosilactobacillus reuteri. RNAcentral's name for it is "bacterial SSU rRNA". It matches the Rfam family "Bacterial small subunit ribosomal RNA". The record is from RNAcentral. Lineage: Bacteria; Bacillati; Bacillota; Bacilli; Lactobacillales; Lactobacillaceae.
GCUAUACAUGCAAGUCGUACGCACUGGCCCAACUGAUUGAUGGUGCUUGCACCUGAUUGACGAUGGAUUACCAGUGAGUGGCGGACGGGUGAGUAACACGUAGGUAACCUGCCCCGGAGCGGGGGAUAACAUUUGGAAACAGAUGCUAAUACCGCAUAACAACAAAAGCCACAUGGCUUUUGUUUGAAAGAUGGCUUUGGCUAUCACUCUGGGAUGGACCUGCGGUGCAUUAGCUAGUUGGUAAGGUAACGGCUUACCAAGGCGAUGAUGCAUAGCCGAGUUGAGAGACUGAUCGGCCACAAUGGAACUGAGACACGGUCCAUACUCCUACGGGAGGCAGCAGUAGGGAAUCUUCCACAAUGGGCGCAAGCCUGAUGGAGCAACACCGCGUGAGUGAAGAAGGGUUUCGGCUGUAAAGCUCUGUUGUUGGAGAAGAACGUGCGUGAGAGUAACUGUUCACGCAGUGACGGUAUCCAACCAGAAAGUCACGGCUAACUACGUGCCAGCAGCCGCGGUAAUACGUAGGUGGCAAGCGUUAUCCGGAUUUAUUGGGCGUAAAGCGAGCGCAGGCGGUUGCUUAGGUCUGAUGUGAAAGCCUUCGGCUUAACCGAAGAAGUGCAUCGGAACCGGGCGACUUGAGUGCAGAAGAGGACAGUGGAACUCCAUGUGUAGCGGUGGAAUGCGUAGAUAUAUGGAAGAACACCAGUGGCGAAGGCGGCUGUCUGGUCUGCAACUGACGCUGAGGCUCGAAAGCAUGGGUAGCGAACAGGAUUAGAUACCCUGGUAGUCCAUGCCGUAAACGAUGAGUGCUAGGUGGUUGGAGGGUUUCCGCCCUUCAGUGCCGGAGCUAACGCAUUAAGCACUCCGCCUGGGGAGUACGACCGCAAGGUUGAAACUCAAAGGAAUUGACGGGGGCCCGCACAAGCGGUGGAGCAUGUGGUUUAAUUCGAAGCUACGCGAAGAACCUUACCAGGUCUUGACAUCUUGCGCUAACCUUAGAGAUAAGGCGUUCCUUCGGGGACGCAAUGACAGGUGGUGCAUGGUCGUCGUCAGCUCGUGUCGUGAGAUGUUGGGUUAAGUCCCGCAACGAGCGCAACCCUUGUUACUAGUUGCCAGCAUUAAGUUGGGCACUCUAGUGAGACUGCCGGUGACAAACCGGAGGAAGGUGGGGACGACGUCAGAUCAUCAUGCCCCUUAUGACCUGGGCUACACACGUGCUACAAUGGACGGUACAACGAGUCGCAAGCUCGCGAGAGUAAGCUAAUCUCUUAAAGCCGUUCUCAGUUCGGACUGUAGGCUGCAACUCGCCUACACGAAGUCGGAAUCGCUAGUAAUCGCGGAUCAGCAUGCCGCGGUGAAUACGUUCCCGGGCCUUGUACACACCGCCCGUCACACCAUGGGAGUUUGUAACGCCCAAAGUCGGUGGCCUAACCUUUAUGGAGGGAGCCGCCUAAG